CUGAGAAAGGUUGUUUUUGAAUAAAUUCUAUGUAUUCGGGGUCUAUCUCAAAACUAGAUGUUAUGAUAGGCUUUGAAGAUUUUGGUGGUUCGAGAUGUGUGCCCAUAGGUCUAUGAAAUUCAUAGAUAGACAUGUUUGAAUUCAUAAUAGACCAGAGAUCAAGGAUUAGAUAAGAAGAAAGAAUAGCAGAGAUGAGGCAAAGGAUAAAAUAAAAAUAUUUUUUUUGUUAUAUAUAUUUUUUUUAUAAAAUGAUUAAACUAGUUCAUAGUCAACUCAGCUACCGUUUCCCCGGCAACGGCGCCAAAAAUGCUUGUUGACACUUGCUAACACCACUUUAAUACUAGGUUGUCAUCCCCAACGUGGCACUAGAGUGUACUAUGGUAUUUAUACGCACACAGAUAAUCCGCAAGCGCACGGAUACCGUUGAAGCUUUUACCCGGUUAAAGGUUUUAUCGUAUCCACAGGGAAACGGGAGAACUGAUCUACGCUCUAACUUAACCAAGAUAAGUAAAUAGGUGUGAAUAGGAAAGAUGGUAGAAUCGAAUAAGAACAAUAUUAAAGGUAAGAUAACAGUGAGUGAUAAUAUGGGAAUAGAGAAUAGAGCAAUUCUAGUAUAUGGGCGAUGGUAGCAGAAUAGAGAGGAUAACUAUGGUUUCUCUACUUCAAAGGGGUAUGUCUAUGUCUGGGACAAACCACGUGAUAAGAGUACACCACAAAGGAUGCUUAUCCAUAGGCUGAUAAACCCUACCCGUCCUGCUAACGAGAGGUGGACUACAGGGGACCAACGUAACUGUCACUUACGCGGCCUACCACACAAUCCAGCUAGUCAGGGGAUAUCCAUAAGUAAUCUAGGUCUAAGCACCACGCUUACACCUAUACUACAACUCUAACCAAUAGGGUCCUAUAGAUUAGAAGUACUCAAAAGAGUUGUGAACCAGAACAUACAUGAUUAGUAAUUGCAUAAUGAAUUAGAAGUAGAUUACCAGAGUCAUCCCAUGAGCAAGCUUGAUCAUGGCGAAGUACAACCGGAGGAAGAACCGACAGGCCAGCCUCUCCUCUAAUCCUCCUUUGCUCUCCAUCUUGCUACUAUCUAGAUCUACUCUAGUUUAGAGAAGAGAGGAGAGCUCUCAUCUCUAAACCCUAGCUUUUGCUCUGUCUAUGAAUAAUGAAUAAUGAUCAAGGGGUGCCUCCUCCAGGGGCCAGGGGGUCUGGUUUUAUAGUCCCCUCAAGUGAACCUGGGCCGUCGGAUAAAACCGACAUUGAUUGAACAGUUAUUCUUGAUCCUUUAGGUCGGUGGAGCAUAAUCCGCGAGAUUGAGCGUGAUUGGCCGAAAAAGGUGGGCGGGCGCCCUAAGGACUAGGGCGGGCGCCCUGUCCCUGACUCCGUUCGGUCUCCGCUUCCCUCCCGUGGCUUCUGGAGUCUUCUAGAUGUAAGAUAAUUGCGCGGCACGUUGAUAUCUCUAUGUAAUCCCGACGUGUGGGCCUUUCUUCCUUAUUUCUUGAUAACCCCCUGCAGAAAUAGACAAACACCAAAACUCGUGGAAUUCUAUCAGAUAAAACCCUAAGUCUUGAUGUUGAUUUCAUUUGGAUCCUUUUCUUUGUUUAUUUGAUAGUUAAUUUUGAUACUUAAGGACCGUCAACAAACUCCCCCAAGCUUACCUCUUGCUCGUCCCUGAGUAAGGAUAGACUCAGCUAUGGAUCAUAAGUUGUUGCAAUAUCUUUAAAAUUUGACGGUACACAUGCUUUUAAAUGAGGUCUCAUCUCUGAGUUAGAGUAAACUGUCAAGACUUAAAACUUACUUACUUUACCUUUCACCAUGGGACUUGUAACCGUCACUUCUGUCUUGAGUGGUUAAAAGAUAGAACAGUCCCGUCAAGUGCCAUGUCUCUUAUUCUUGAUCAGCUAUAGCUCUGGAGUUUUUGCAGAUUUUUAAAUAAAACUCAGAGAUUCCUUUGUAUGACUCUCUCAUAUCUCUCUUUUGUGGUAUUUCUAGAUCCUUACCAAGGCAGUGAUGGUAUAUGCCUUCUCUCAAGAUAUGUGGUAUUUGUGGUAUAAGGCAUAGUGACAUUGCCUUCUCUCUCACCCUACUCUAAUAAGGCUUUAAUAUCUGGAGCUCAUAGGUGGGAGAUAAAGUAUACAUACUUACAAGACAUUUAUUGUAUAGUCAAACCAUGGAUCCAAAGAAACAAAUCAAUAAGCCAAAUCAAGAUGUGCAUGUGUGGCGAAUGAAUAGUGUAUGGUGAUGAUGGUGAUAACAAUGGUGAAAGUCUAAUUCUACUUUUGCUCUUUUGAGGGGAUACAUACCUUCCUUGCUUUUUGAAACUUUAUGAGGAGAAUGAGAUGCUCUUCUUUUUUCUUUUCUCUCAGAUGGGUAUCCUGUACCCCUAAUUCUACUGUCGGACACUUGUCCAUUUUUACCUCUCGUCUCACUCUUUUUCUUUUCUUUCGAGGUUCCGGGCACUUGCCCCUUUUUAUUUCCUCGUUUAUUUUUUUUUCUUUUUUUUCAGAGCACUCAUCUCUUGAGAUAAUAUAGCAAGUGGUAGUAGCAAGAUAACUUGAGCAUUUAUUUCACACGGGAAAAACACAGAUGUUUUUGGCUAUUCUCUCCCGAAUUAGGAGUAGAAUAUUUUUAGGUGAUUCUGGAGAUGGAAAUGGAUGGAUAUAUGUGGAUGGUACUUCCGAAGUAGAAGUAGCAUAUAUGAGUGAACGUGCAAGUGAAUCCUGAUUUAACCACAUGACAAGCUCCUAAGGGUCUACACAGCUUGACCACACUCAAUGCUCAUAAGCAGUAAAUAAUAAAUGUGUGGCUCAAAGUCUAGCAAGCAUGUAUAUAUGGCUGUGGUAGGAAUUUAAACUUUCAUCAUACAGGAACUCAUCGUGCAACAUUUUAAAGAUUUUCAAAGAUAAAAUUCUCCAUAAUUCUAGCAUCUCUAGGAAUAGAUAAACAGCAGCUCAACCUUCCCAUAUCAUAUCCGUUAACAACUUAGAUUUCAGAUCAAGUUUUCAUCCCAUAAGUUUAGAUCUAGAGCAAGCUUUAAAUUAUAACAGUUAUGUCUAAACUUGAGAGAGAACAUCAAAUUUGCAAAUUAGGCAGAGCAACUAUUCAUCAUAUCCAUGCUAGAGUUUUAUUAUUAAGAUUCAUAGCAAACUUUAUUUAUUUAUUUAUUUAGCAAACUAAGAAAAGAUAUAUAUAUAUAAGCAUAAAAUCUUUAUUUGGUUUUUCAUAGUUUAUGUAUUUUAAUAUUCUAAUAUAAUAUAUGUAUAAAGAUAGGUAGAAAUACUUAGCGAGAUAAAUAGGGGUGCUCUCCCCCAAGCUGAAUUUUGAUGUAAUUUCUCUUGAUGUAGCUAGCAGGUGGCAGAGGUGUAUUUGAAAGUCAGCAGCAUUCUGACAGCGAUUAGAAUGUCCUCCAUCUGCUAGUCUUCUUGAUUCUUAAAUUCUGUGGAGCUCAAAUAGACAACAAAGCUUGUGGAACUAAUUAAGUGUUAGCAUAAAUAUCUAGCCUUCAUCACGUUGAGCUUCCUCAACAAAUAUUACUCUCUGUUUUUAUAUUUUUAUUUUAUAAAGUAGAAAAGAAAUAUUUAUUUUAUUUUUAUGCCACCACAGUGAAGGUACUUAUGGGUUUUAUGCCACUCGUAUACUCACAUGGGGCUUAGUAUUUUUUAAAAUUUUUAUUUUCUUUUCAAGAUAGCAUGAUUAACAAAUAAUCUAUUUAAGGAAAGUAAAUAAUUAAAUGGAAAAGGGAAUGCAGAAAGGAUAAAUAUGGAUAACUACCAAUCUUACCUUUCGGCGAGGGUUCAAUGUUUUAAGUCUUCUUGUCAAGACUUCUCAUCGUGUUCAUUCUUCAGGUGCGUCAUUUGAUUCAGGUGCGGACCUUGACGUCUGCACCUUUUAAUACGGUGUCACCCAUGUUUUUCGUUUGCCCAGCAGUUCGAAGUGCGGUUUUAGCAGUAUCUUGCUCAGUGUGUUUGUGCUCGUAGUGUACCUGCUCAUAGAGACAAGGCAGAGAUCAAGUGCAUGGGCCCUGUUGGUGGAGAACACCAACAGAACCAAAAGUGUAUUUGUUCUUCUCUAACCUUAAGCAUAGUGAGCAAGACAAAGUUGAUGGAUGAUAAGUUCAUGAGUGUAGCACUUAUAACAUUUGUCAGAUCAGAUCGCUCAACCUUAUGGAAAGAUAAUCUAUCUAUGUAUAUGUAUUUUUCUUUAUAUCUCUCAAUGAUUGAAUGUGUAACAUUUUAGCUCAUAUGAUUAGGAGUGUGGGAUCAUGGAGGUAGUACUAAGAACAAGGAUUAAAGGACUGAACAUGUUGAAUCAGUUGGGUUGGUUAAUCUAGAGUUGUAAAUCAUACACGUUUGUCUCUUUUAUUUAUAUGAAUGCCAGAACCUAAGAGAAGCUUAUAAAAGUGAUAGUCAAGUACCUUAAGAUGUUACCUUGCUCGAAGAGUGAUGGUACAGUAUCAUCUUGUGGAAGCUUUCCUUUCUUAGCGGUUGUGCGUCGUGUUUGUGGCACCCUCCAUGGAUCAUCUCUCUAUGAUGAAUGAGCUAUGUCCUUCUUGUGCAAAUUGUUAAACUUCAUAUGUCACUCUCUUCGUCUCUUAUGUGAGUUUAUCUCAGGACUUCCCAAAUCGAUAUUGAAAGUUUUUCUGCAGGGGUUAGUCUGACAAAAUAUACCAAUACCUACUCAAGCAGUUUUUUUAGUUCAAUAACCAAACUAGACUCCAUGUCUAAUCAGAUUAAGGAAGGCUAUUUAACCUAAGCACCAUGCUUAAUUUAAAUGCCAAUGGAAGUAUGGCGAGUACUUCCAAACCAACACUUGCUAGUAAAUAGACAAAGGUAGCAUGACAGCGUUUAUAGAGAUCUAUUCAAGUGGAGAUGAAGUAGUGUGAUUAGUAUUUAACAAAUUGAGCAUGUCUCAAAGGUAGGGACAACCAGCAUAGCAACAUGGCAAAGGAUGUUUUUAUGUAAAGUACUCCCCCAAGCUUGAAUUUUGCAAAAUUCAAGUUUGGAUGAAUUUAAUUCAAUGUUGUAUGAUGAUUGGUUGGACAUACCUUGUGCUUGUCAUUCAUCCGAUCUUCUUGCUCCAAUCUUAGAAAGGUUAGUGACAAGAAUACCCGAAGGAAUAUUUUUUUUUUACAAUUAUCCUUAUAUGCUCAAUACACAAGGUAAUGUUGCAAAUAAUUAAAGGCUCAUGUUACGAUCUGAUCAAUGCUUAUUUUAAGACACUAAGCUUGUCCUUGGGAAACCAUCAGUUUAUGUUGGUGAAGUGGUUUCCCCUCCGACGCCAACCUAUAUCUAGAUCAACUCAACGAGAUCUGCAAUAUUUAUUAUAGACAUAUGCAUCGACAACUGCCCUUUUAAAGUUUUUAUAAAUAGAAAGGAAGAGGGGGUUGGAGAUCUCAAGUGUGGUGAUGUCGGAGAGACCAAUAGAUUGGGAAGAUGUUGCAUAUGAGCAUGGAGUAAACGAAGUGGCUAUGAAAUAAAUUCCAUGCUCAUUAAUGUUAUCUUUGUCUCUAAUUUGAAUGUUUGGAGUUUCUCCUGUAUUGGUCUCACCUAUGUCCUCUUCUGUAGUUGGAUGAAUCUCAUCUUCAAAGGGAGUCAAGAACUCACCAUUUGAAAUUAAGCCAAAGUCAGAACCCAUUAAGGCUUCAUCCUUAUCCAUCCAUUCUACACAUUCUAGCCAUUUAGAACUUGUGAUCAAAAUAGGGGAGGUGUUAGAAUUUUCUAUAUGGCUUAGCUCUCCUUCUAUGGCAUUACUUGACAUGCCAUCCUUAUGGUCUUCAUGACUCCUAUGGUUUGGUCGUCUUGGUGAAUUUCUAGGAUCAUCAUGAGACUGAAAAGAAGAGGGAUAAGAGGGAUCUCUAAGGUCAAGGAUGGAUUUAGAACUUGUGAACAUGGAAGGGGAGUAGAUAGAAUUGUCUAUAUGGCUUAGCUCUCCUUCACUUGAUAUGUCAUCCUCGACUUCUUCAUGAUACGAACCAGGACAUUCUCUAAGAGAAACAUUAUUGCAAUGAUUUGAAUUAUCCCUGCUUAAAGGUCUCUUAUAGAACCAGAAGUCUAAACCAUCAGCAUCUAAAAGAUUUAAGGUCGGAAUUCCUUCCUCCCUUGGAGAAUUUUGGGGUAUUGAUGGUUUAGGAUCGAUAGCUAAAGUUUGGGAUUGAAGUGGUUGUGAUCUGUCUAUCGAAACUUCUUCUUCUUGUCUAGGAACUGGUUCUUUCUCUUUCUCAGGGAUUUAAAAGCUAGGAGACUUUCCGCUCAUUAAAUCAAUCAAAUUCCAAGCUUCACAAGCGGAUAGGUGGUGGAAAGAUCCUCCCGAGGCCGCAUGAAGGGUUUGCUUAUCUUCCUUACUAAGGCCCUCAAAAAAGUGAAUUAGAAGAACUUCUUCUGGAAUAGAAAGUUUUGGGCAAGUGAGAGUAAGGUUAAUAAAGCGGUCCCAUGAUUUGCCAAGAGAUUCUUCUUCCAAUUGUCUAAAAGAAAGAAUCUCACGCCGAAGUUCCACCACUUUGGAGAUUGGAAAAUAUUUAGAAAGAAAACUACUAUAUAACUCCUUCUAAUCUCCAUAAACACUCCCUACUUUCAGUUUAUACCAAUGUCUAGCUUUUCCCGUUAAAGAGAACGGAAAGAGCUUCUAUUUAAGGGUCUCAUUGGACAUGCCAUCUAUGCGAAGGAGGUCACAGACUCGAUAAAACUCUCUUAGGUGUGUGUAUGGGUUUUCCUCACCUUCUCCUGAGAAAGGUUGUUUUUGAAUAAAUUCUAUGUAUUCGGGGUCUAUCUCAAAACUAGAUGCUAUGAUAGGCUUUGAAGAUUUUGGUGGUUCGAGAUGUGUGCCCAUAGGUCUAUGAAAUUCAUAGAUAGACAUGUUUGAAUUCAUAAUAGACCAGAGAUCAAGGAUUAGAUAAGAAGAAAGAAUAGCAGAGAUGAGGCAAAGGAUAAAAGGAAAUUUUUUUUUUUUGUUAUAUAUAUUUUUUUUAUAAAAUGAUUAAACUAGUUUGUAGUCAACUCAGCAACCGUUUCCCGGGCAACGGCGCCAAAAAUGCUUGUUGACACUUGCUAACACCACUUGAAUACUAGGUUGUCAUCCCCAGCGUGGCACUAGAGUGUACUAUGGUAUUUAUACGCACACAGAUAAUCCGCAAGCGCACGGAUACCGUUGAAGCUUUUACCCGGUUAAAGGUUUUAUCGUAUCCACAGGGAAACGGGAGAACUGAUCUACGCUCUAACUUAACCAAGAUAAGUAAAUAGGUGUGAAUAGGAAAGAUGGUAGAAUCGAAUAAGAACAAUAUUAAAGGUAAGAUAACAGUGAGUGAUAAUAUGGGAAUAGAGAAUAGAGCAAUUCUAGUAUAUGGGCGAUGGUAGCAGAAUAGAGAG
Molecule: long non-coding RNA, 7361 nt
Filed under: Sorghum bicolor (sorghum)
Lineage: Eukaryota; Viridiplantae; Streptophyta; Magnoliopsida; Poales; Poaceae
Description: long non-coding RNA (SBIC_LNC010890)
Source: RNAcentral